This 77-nucleotide transfer RNA is filed under the name Bacteroidia bacterium. Its description in RNAcentral is "tRNA-Ile". It matches the Rfam family "tRNA". From Rfam's summary of the family: Transfer RNA (tRNA) molecules are approximately 80 nucleotides in length. Their secondary structure includes four short double-helical elements and three loops (D, anti-codon, and T loops). RNAcentral also lists the same sequence under 1 other name. The record is from RNAcentral. Lineage: Bacteria; Pseudomonadati; Bacteroidota; Bacteroidia.
GCGAGUGUAGCUCAGGUGGUUAGAGCGCAUCACUGAUAAUGAUGAGGUCGUAGGUUCGAGUCCUACCAUUCGCACAA